This 764-nucleotide non-coding RNA is filed under the name Scolytus schevyrewi. The record is from RNAcentral. Lineage: Eukaryota; Metazoa; Arthropoda; Insecta; Coleoptera; Curculionidae.
GCAAAGCAGCUUUGCUUUGAUUAAGCAUUUAUUGCUCGGUUAAAUGUAAGUUUUAGCGGUAGAGAGUUUGAACUAUAGAUUAGUUUUAUUGAUUUGUGCUUACAGUAACUAAUUUUUUAUAAUUUGGUAAUUCAAGAUAUAGGAAGCAAUAAGAGGAAUGGACCCAGUUUGUGCCAGCAGUAGCGGUUAAACAAACCGUUCUAUGUUUAAUUUGUCAGUUUAAGUUAGUUUAAUUAGGAUAAUUUAAAUUAAGGGUUAUUAGGUGAAAUUUUAUCUUUUAUUAGUUAUUAAUUAUAAAGCUUUGAAAUUUUUUAUAAAACUAGGAUUAGAUACCCUAUUAUGUUAAGUGUUAAAGUUUAGCUGAAUUAGUAGUAGUUAUGGUCUUGAAAAUUAGGAGCAAUGGCGGUACUCUAGUCUGUUCAGAGGAACCUGCCCUGUGAUUGAUGAUCCACGAUUUUUAAGACUGAUUUAAUUAGUUUAUAUAUCGCCGUGGUUGAACAUUUUCUAAGAAAUUUAAUGUUCAAGACUUCUAUUUUGAGAAGAAUUCAGGUCAAGAUGUAGCUUAUAUUUCAGAAGAGGUGGGUUACAAUGGUUUAAAUUUCGGACAGGCCUUUAAGAGGGCCUCGAAGGCGGAUUUGAUAGUAAUUGGAGGGAUUUCCUUUAGUGAUUUAAGCUCUGGAGUAUGUACAUAUCGCCCGUCGCUUUCAUUAAAGUGAAAUAAGUCGUAACAUAGUAGGUGUACUGGAAAGUGUAUCUGGAAAGUC